This 672-nucleotide ribosomal RNA is filed under the name Shigella sonnei. RNAcentral's name for it is "partial 23S ribosomal RNA". It matches the Rfam family "Bacterial large subunit ribosomal RNA", at positions 2250 to 2916 of the family's 2925-position model. The record is from RNAcentral. Lineage: Bacteria; Pseudomonadati; Pseudomonadota; Gammaproteobacteria; Enterobacterales; Enterobacteriaceae.
GACAGUGUCUGGUGGGUAGUUUGACUGGGGCGGUCUCCUCCUAAAGAGUAACGGAGGAGCACGAAGGUUGGCUAAUCCUGGUCGGACAUCAGGAGGUUAGUGCAAUGGCAUAAGCCAGCUUGACUGCGAGCGUGACGGCGCGAGCAGGUGCGAAAGCAGGUCAUAGUGAUCCGGUGGUUCUGAAUGGAAGGGCCAUCGCUCAACGGAUAAAAGGUACUCCGGGGAUAACAGGCUGAUACCGCCCAAGAGUUCAUAUCGACGGCGGUGUUUGGCACCUCGAUGUCGGCUCAUCACAUCCUGGGGCUGAAGUAGGUCCCAAGGGUAUGGCUGUUCGCCAUUUAAAGUGGUACGCGAGCUGGGUUUAGAACGUCGUGAGACAGUUCGGUCCCUAUCUGCCGUGGGCGCUGGAGAACUGAGGGGGGCUGCUCCUAGUACGAGAGGACCGGAGUGGACGCAUCACUGGUGUUCGGGUUGUCAUGCCAAUGGCACUGCCCGGUAGCUAAAUGCGGAAGAGAUAAGUGCUGAAAGCAUCUAAGCACGAAACUUGCCCCGAGAUGAGUUCUCCCUGACCCUUUAAGGGUCCUGAAGGAACGUUGAAGACGACGACGUUGAUAGGCCGGGUGUGUAAGCGCAGCGAUGCGUUGAGCUAACCGGUACUAAUGAACCGUGAGG